GGUUGGAUGGGCAGAGAAGAGACAAUGAACUUGGAAUGUUUCACUUAUGGGACUCCUUCACCAAAAAAAAAAAGUUUCACUUAUGGGACUCCUUCACCAAAAAAAUAAAUGUUUCACUUAUGGGACUUGUUUUCCCUACUUCCAUUAGGGAAGUCAUUUUCCUCAUUUUUAAAGAACUUGUUUUCCUAGAGAAAAUGUUUUCCAAGAGAAAAUGUUUUUCAAAAUAUUUUGACCAACCAAAUAUAAGAAAAUGGGAAACGUUUUUCCUCCAUACCAAACACACCCUAAAAGUAAGUUAAGGAGCAAAGAAAAGAUAAUGGAAGAAAAAUAUGCCAAAAAUAGUUUUUGCUUAAGUGUGGGUUAGGCGAAUGUCUCAGGAUCGAAUUCUGCAAUAGAAAAAAAGCUUUGUAUUUAGGUGGAGAAGGGUAGAAGGGUGGGGCCAUUAUCCAUUGAGUUUCAAACCAUGCGCCUCUGGCCUGUGGGAUUUGUCGGUUACCAAGAAAAAAGAGUCUUUGCUUGGUGCAGCAACACAUAUGUUUACAGUUAUCAACUGAGCCUUCAUCUCUUUUGCUCCCUUGCUACUUAUACCGAUUGACUUUCUUUUUCAAGGGGUUCUUUUCGGGCAAAACUGUUAUUCCAGUACUCAUGGAAAAGGGAUUAUCAAUCUCGGUUGCAUCGUUUUCACCCUUUGCCACAAAUCCCGCACCUGCAUAUACCUUAAACAUCUUUUGUUCCCAAAUCUGAUACUUUUUUACCACCAUUGUUGAAGUAAAACAAAAAAGCAAACAUUUAUUAGUGGAUAAUAGAACCAAGACUGACGAACCUAGAAUUAGAUCAGACAAUAAUUCUCAUGAAAUAUAGCUUCCAUAGCUAUUCAGAUUUAUUUUAUUACACGACAUAACUUGGUUUUCAGACUUGAUUUUGAAAAGAAAGCUUUAAUUAUACUUGACUAUAUUUUGUUUUCACCAAUAUAGGGUGUGCUUUGUGUUAUAUGACUUAGGUGUUGUUUGGUUUGAAUUUGGUAUUGGGUUUAUAUGACUGAUGGGUUUUGUCUUGAGCAUUAGGUUUAUUUCUGAGGGUAAGUGGCUGGAUGUUGCAACUCAAGGGACCACCAUCUGAGUUGCAACUCAGGGCCCUUUCAAAAUCUCCAGCCUCUUUUGGCUCUAUUGGCCUCCUCCACCGAGUGAAAUUAAAAUAAAAUCAACCCAUGGCCGAGAUCAGGAAUACCAGUGGACAGGCUCCAUGAAUUAAAUGUUCACUUUUGCAGCUCAGUAGAAACCUUAAAGUCCCCACAGUGUAGAUCUUCCACCAUGCAUAUUUUAAGAGUAGCAAUUCUGAAUUUUGUUAUUUCUUUUAACACCAUUCUAUUAAAUCCAUUCUGGAAAAUACGUUUACCUGAUCAGAAAAAAUUAAAUCCAUUCUGAUCCAACUUGCAUUGAAUAUGCUCUGCUGGCCAAUUCAAACCCUUGACAACACUCGUGUAGCUCUUGGAAUGCUUUUGAAUUGCAGGACUGGAGUUGGUGUGGUCUUUUUACAACAAACCUCCAUUCUUUGUCUCUGCUAUACCUGAACCUCCAGCAUUUAGUGAGAAUGAUGAACCUUUUUCUUGUCUUUGCGUGGUGCUAAUUCUCAAGUUUGGUGAAGUUCUGACAAAUGCAGCUUUCUCUCAAUUCGCUCAUACCAAAAAUCAUGUUCAGUGGCUUUUUCUUUAAUCUCAAAAGACUUCUGGCCAACCAUAACAAGGGGUGUUGUAUCCAUCAAUGAGGGAAAGCAACCAGUUUUUUUAAGAUCACAAGUAAGAUUAUCUAGCGAAAAGUGGUCAGUGAGGUUAGGUUUGUGGGGAGGUGAAAGAUGGAGGAGAAAGUGUAGUGUGGGAUUGGAAGGUUAAUCGGAGGGGAAGAGAAGAUAAGGCUUCUCUCUCAUGCUCUAAAACGAUUUCUUUCGAAGUGCAUGUGAGGUUUUUUACUGGCCUCAUAGAAUAUUUUAAUGAUUCUUUUUCAUUCCAACCAUUCUACUGCAUAGAGUAAUAUUUAAACAAUAGACAUCUUAUCAACACCCAAAAAUCUAAAUCUCCCCCACGCUCCGGAAUGUAAAUUGUGUUUCUUUAGUGAUGCUUGAUAAAGCUCAACCAAGUAUUUUGGCGUACGAAAGGUACAUGACCGGUGUCCUCUUCCACUGCAUCGAUAACAUCUAUUUUUUUAGCCAUUUGUUUCUACCACUUCGUGCUUCUCAUCCUUCUUUUUCCCCUUUUGGUGGUGAUUCUUUGAUGAAUGAUUAGCCCCAAGGGGAAGAAUUUUUUACGACCAUGACAAUGACUAGGGCCAUGACCUUUUCCACGCUCAGAGUAGUGGGCUGCACCUCAUUCACUUCAGGGAACGGUGUAGAGCCAGUUAGUUGAUUUUCAUGAUUUUUCAUUAACAAAUUAUUGGUUUCUUCAGCCACGAGAAGAUGAGAAUUCAAUCCAGAAUGCUUCUUGAAACCUUUCUCCCGACAUUGCUGCUGCAGGAGCACAAUCAAUGCAUGAAAGAUGGGGCCAAUCGUACCGUGCUUUUGGGAGGAUGAUCAUCUUCAGUUGGUCAUACCUUUCUUUCAAGUUAUUCCACAAAACAAGUGGAUCAUUAAUGGUGAGAUAUUCAAUUUUCAAAACUUCAUGCAAUAAUAUCAUUGCUUUAGAGCAAUCUUGGUUGGAUAUUUUAUUUUUGGACUUAAUGGUGUCUCCAAGACCCAUUGCAUCCAAACGAAUUUCAGCAUGCAACACCCAUGAGAGGUGGUUCUUCCGAAAUAUCAAGGGCAACAAACUCAAGUUUUGUAAGAUUAGCCAAUGAUUAGAGAGAAGAAAAAGUAGUCUUUAAAUUAAUUUUUGAGACGGUAGAGCGUCGUGCUGAUAACGUGUUAUAAAACAAAGAUAAUAUAGAAAGAACCAUGUAUUUUGGAACUACUAAUAGAAAGGGAAGACAUAUAUUAGGAAGAGAAUCGUUCCUUUUCUUUUCGGUGUAUCAAAUGAGAAGGCAAAACUUCCUAUUUAUAGAAAAAUUUUGCCGCUCAACAUACAACAUACAACUUGUGCAAGUUGAUCUACAACUUGGAUACAACUAAGAUACAACUAAGGUACAACUUUCAAGUACAAGUUGUAUUAUCAUUUUAAGUACAAAUGGUACAAUUUACGUUUACAUGUGGGGGUACUGUCAUAUCUUGCCGAUCUACAAAGCAUUCUAUUAUGGCUACUUCAUCAAAUCAUGCUGAGAUAAUAGCUAUUCAUGAAGCAAGCUGAUAAUGUGUGUGGUUGAGGUAAAUGAUACAUCUCAUUCGAGAAAAAUCUGAUUUGAAAUGUGACAAAAUACCUACAACUUAUAUGAAGAUAAUGCAGCAUGCAUAUCCCAAUUAAGAGGAGGAUUCAUAUAAGUAGAUAGAACAAAGCACAUUCCACCAGAGUUUUUCUUCACACACGAUCUCCAAUAGAAUGUUGAUAUCAACGUAUAGCAGAUUCGCUCAAGUGAUAAUUUAGCGGAUCUGUUCAGGGGAGUAAAAUACGCGCUGUACUCUUUUUUCCUUAACCAAAGUUUUAUUGGGUUUUACUAGUAAGGCUUUUAAUGAGACAGCUAAAAAUGUGUAUUACUAGAUAUGUGCACUCUUUUCUUUUUACUAGAAUUUUCCAUAGGUUUUUUUCUAGUAAGGCUUUAACGAGGCACAUUAUCUAUUAAUGAAACAUCCCGGGGGAGUGUUAUGAACUAUUUUGACAAGUUGUAUUUUGGAUGUAUUAUUAAUAGAUAAAACUAGAAGUUUAAAUUGUACCACUUGUACUUAAAGUGACAAUAUAACUUGUAAUUGAAAGUUAUUGUUAUUGUGUCAAAUAUAACUUGUAAUUGAAAGUUGUAUCUUAGUUGUAGCCAAGUUGUAGAUCAACGUGCACAAGUUGUAUGUUGUAUGUUGAGAGGCAAAAUUUUCUAUAAAUAGGAAGUUUUGCCUUCUCAUUUGAUACACAAAGAAAAAGAAGGAAAGAAGAAAACACUCUCUAGAAGGAAAGAAGAAAACACUCUCUUCCUAUUACUAGUUCUAGUUAAUUACACAGUUCUUUCUAUAUAGAAUCUUUUUAUAAUAAAAUGUGUAUAAACUUUGGAAUAAGUUUUUGGUUCAAGCCAAUUGGCUCUUAUGAUAAAACUAGAAGCAACAAGUCACUUUAAAUACAUUCUUUACCCUUAACAACAUUAAGCCUAACAUACAAGACUAGUCCUUGUGAGAAAUUAUGAGAGAAAUAUUAUUAUUGAAUUGUGUAUCUACAUUAUUACAUUGAGCCCUAUUUAUAGAUACUAAAUCCCAAUCCUUUUUCACGUAGGAUACUAUAUACAAAUCUUAUUCAUAUUCUAAUACUCCCCUUCAAGCUGGUGCAUACAAGUCAUAUGUACCGAGCUUGUUACAAAUGUAACUAAUACGUUAUAGAUGUAACUAAUACGAGGACAGGUGAGAGACUUGGUGAAAAUAUCUGCAAGCUGAUCACUCGACCUCACAAAUUUUGUAACAAUAUCUCUGGAGACCAUCUUUUCUUCGACAAAGUGACAGUCAAUGUCAAUGCGCUUAGUCCUAUCAUAAAAUAGUGGAUUUGAUGCGAUAUGAAGGGCCGCUUUGUUAUCACGCACAAGUUAGUUCCAUCUGACUAAUUUCUCCAAAUUUUAAUUCUCGGAGCAACUGCUUAAUCCAAACUAGCUCACAAGUUGCUACAACCAUUGCACGAUAUUCUGAUUCUGCACUAGAUUGAGCAACCACACUUUGUUUCUUACUCUUACAAGAUACCAAAUUACCUCCUGCUAAAACACAAUAUUCGGAUGUAGUGUCUAUAAAUAGGGCUCAAUGUAAUAAUGUAGAUAGACAAAUCAACAAUAAUGUCUCUCAUAAUUUCUCACAUGAUAUCAGAGCAGGACCUAUCCCAAUUAUUAUUUCCCGAUAGUCGGCCCCAUAUUAAGAUUGCUCACGCACCAGAUGUCCAGCCCUGGGCGUGAGGUGGGGUGUUAAAAUAUCCCAGAUCGGUGGUUUAAGGGAUGGGUGGACUUCUUAUAUGAACUUGGGCAGUCCUCCCCUCGUGAGCUAGCUUUCGGGGUUGAGUUAAGCCGAAGAUCCAUUUCUUUACGGUCCUAAAAAGAUUUUAGAAAUUAAUGUUGAUUCUACAGUAGUGGAGUAGUGGAGAUUGACAUGAAGGGUAAGCCUAUGGAUAAAUUUCAGAAACUCAAAAGUUAUCAUCAGAAAGUUAUCUUUCUCAAAAUGUUCAUCAUGAAGAGGAGAUGCAAAAUUUUUGCCAAAUAAAAGCAGAAGCUUCACAAGGUAAAGAUUUGGUGAACUUGGAAAACUUCUCCAAAAGUACCUAGAUAGAAGCUGUCAUGCUCCUAAACAAAUUCUUUGAAAGUACAUGGGAGGUUGUUUAUUGGCCUAUUAGAAUAUUUUAGUGAUGCUUUCCAUCUUUCAUGAUCUGAGAUCCCACGAGCUUUGCAUUUAUAUACUAGUCAGGGAAAGGUGUAUAUUAAAGAAAUGUCAUUGAAGUCAAAUGUGAGGUAUCAAAUACUGCUUGCAUCCCAAUUUAUGUGGUGGUGUUUGAUUGGGCACAAUUUUUUUUGGAAAAACUACUUUUGAAACUUGUGGUCUAAGAUAAACCAUAGACAUUUGUGUCUAUAAAUCAUCUCAUUAAGGGUAAAAUGAGAAGUUUAAAGUUACAAUGUUAAUAUAGAAUUGUCAUUUUUUUUGGAUAAACUCGAAAGGAAAGUGUCCACAUAAAAUGGGACGUAGAGAGUUGUAAAAAGGAAAAAGGACAUGGUGUAAAAUUCCGCAAAGUGAAGACACUAGGAAACAUGUCGUAAGGAAUCCUAAUUUUUUAAGUUAAACUUCUUUAAAUUGUCAAGUAAUUUGCCAUUUAUUUGGCCUUAGGUUGAAUAAACUCAAUUAUUUCUGAAAGCUGUGUGGGUUCGUUUACAGUGAGCUAUAUUGGCUGUGUAACUUUGAUAACUUGAUUUUCUCUCCUAUCGACCAUUAAAGUGUAGCCUAAUGAUCCGGGUUUUGUCCUCGAGACUAGGAGAUCCUUGGUUCAAAUGCUACCCAAAUUGUGGUACUUAUAGUUAAAUAUGUUUAACAAAUCACUUGUAUGCAGGUGUUUGUUCUAUCAGUUUGUGGUUCAAAUAGCAGUAUAAGCAUCAGGCAAGAAAAAGUAAUGUAACCGGUGAUGCUGAUUAAAACAAAGUCCCUUUAUAGUCGUAACCUACAAAAACAAGAACAAAUAAGGCAAUUAAUAUUUUCAACUUUUUUCAUUUUAUUAUGGAUUUUGAACAUUUCAGACAUAAAUGCCUUAAGCCGCCUAUUGCUUCUGAAAAUGUUCAAAAUCCAUUUUUUUUUUUUUUUACUUUGUUAAAAUGGGAUGGGAACAUUUUGGUAAGCAGUGCAUGAAAAUAACGUGAAGUUUAUAUCUAAAACCAGGGGAACCCUUUUAGAAACUCUGUAUGAAGAGUAGAAGUGUACUACAAUAUCAAAGGCUCAAACAAAACUGAUGGAGAACGAAUCGAAUCGAAUUGUCCCUAUGUUUUCAAUCAUGAUGAAAUAGAAUCAAGUUUUUGCUUCAUGUUUGCGUCUGUAUGCUUUAAGGUGUAGGCAUUGUGAAAGUUACUAUUCUGGGCUCUGAUUUUGUUGGAGUGGCUUUCUUUUAUGCUAUGUGUAGUCUAUCAGUAUAUUCUUUGGACUUAUAUUUUUCCUUGUCCUAAUCUCAGUUGAACUUUGUAGUCUAUCGGUAUAUUCUUUGGACUCUUACAA
Molecule: long non-coding RNA, 6783 nt
Organism: Lycium barbarum (goji berry)
Lineage: Eukaryota; Viridiplantae; Streptophyta; Magnoliopsida; Solanales; Solanaceae
Exons: 2
Source: RefSeq, a predicted model, not a curated record